This 818-nucleotide ribosomal RNA is filed under the name uncultured bacterium. RNAcentral describes it as "bacterial SSU rRNA". It matches the Rfam family "Bacterial small subunit ribosomal RNA", at positions 19 to 792 of the family's 1533-position model. The record is from RNAcentral.
CUGGCUCAUCUUGAACGCUAGCGGCAUGCCUCACACAUGCAAGUCGAACGGGACAGCGCGGAGAGAACUUGUUUUUCUCUAGCGAGUUGAGUGGCGAACGGGUGAGUAAUGCGUAGGAAUCUACCUUUUAGAGGGGGAUAACCCGAGGAAACUCGGGCUAAUACCGCGUAGUAUCUCUUUUCAUAGAAAAGUUGAAGAAAGCGGGGGAUCCUUGAGUUUUUUUAAGGACCUCGCGCUAAAAGAUGAGCCUGCGUCGGAUUAGUUAGUUGGUGGGGUAAUAGCCCACCAAGACGAUGAUCCGUAGCUGGUCUGAGAGGAUGAUCAGCCACACUGGGACUGAGACACGGCCCAGACUCCUAUGGGAGGCAGCAGUGGGGAAUAUUGGACAAUGGGGGAAACCCUGAUCCAGCAAUGCCGCGUGUGUGAAGAAGGCCUUCGGGUUGUAAAGCACUUUCAGCAGGAAAGAAAGUCUUAAAGUUAAUACCUUUAAUGAGUUGACGUUACCUGCAGAAGAAGCACUGGCUAACUCUGUGCCAGCAGCCGCGGUAAUACAGAGAGUGCAAGCGUUAAUCGGAAUUACUGGGCGUAAAGCGCGCGUAGGUGGAUAUUAAAGUCGGGUGUGAAAGCCCCGAGCUUAACUCGGGAAUUGCGUUCGAUACUGAGUAUCUAGAGUAUAGUAGAGGGAAGUGGAAUUUCCGGUGUAGCGGUGAAAUGCGUAAAUAUCGGAAGGAACACCAGUGGCGAAGGCGGCUUCCUGAACUAAUACUGACACUGAGGUGCGAAAGCGUAGGGAGCAAACAGGAUUAAAUACCCUGGUA